CUACGGGGCGCACCAGUGAGGAAUAUUGCACAAUGGGGGAAACCCUGAUGCAGCAACGCCGCGUGGAGGAUGACGCAUUUCGGUGUGUAAACUCCUUUUAUCAGAGAAGAAAAUGACGGUAUCUGAUGAAUAAGCUCCGGCUAACUCCGUGCCAGCAGCCGCGGUAAUACGGAGGGAGCAAGCGUUAUUCGGAAUCACUGGGCGUAAAGGACGCGUAGGCGGAUUUUUAAGUCAGGUGUGAAAUCCUACAGCUCAACUGUAGAACUGCACUUGAAACUGGGAACCUAGAGUAUGGAAGGGGCAGGUGGAAUUAGUGGUGUAGGGGUAAAAUCCGUAGAUAUCACUAGGAAUACCGAAAGCGAAGGCGACCUGCUGGGACAUAACUGACGCUGAGGCGUGAAAGCGUGGGGAGCAAACAGGAUUAGAUACCCCUGUAGUC
Molecule: ribosomal RNA, 439 nt
Filed under: uncultured bacterium
Lineage: Bacteria
Description: partial 16S ribosomal RNA
Rfam family: Bacterial small subunit ribosomal RNA
Source: RNAcentral